Molecule: transfer RNA, 72 nt
Organism: Microsporum canis CBS 113480
Lineage: Eukaryota; Fungi; Ascomycota; Eurotiomycetes; Onygenales; Arthrodermataceae
Rfam family: tRNA
About the family: Transfer RNA (tRNA) molecules are approximately 80 nucleotides in length. Their secondary structure includes four short double-helical elements and three loops (D, anti-codon, and T loops).
Source: Rfam
GGACCCGUGGCGCAAUGGUAGCGCAGCAGAUUCCAGAUCUGAAGGUUGUGCGUUCAAUUCGCACCGGGUUCA